This 1165-nucleotide long non-coding RNA is filed under the name Gouania willdenowi (blunt-snouted clingfish). RNAcentral describes it as "lncRNA (ENSGWIG00000010394.1)". Lineage: Eukaryota; Metazoa; Chordata; Actinopteri; Blenniiformes; Gobiesocidae. The record is from RNAcentral.
GCUAAAGAAAGAGAUGGAAGAAUGAGUGAUGAAAGAGAAACAACAACUGAACUUGUGUUGUGUAUUUUAUACUGCUCAUCCUCUCCACUUCCUGUUCCCAGAUAGACAGUGGCUGACGAGAGCGCUUCUCCUUCCUCAUGUCCACUAUCAUCUCCUUGGUCUUGUCCGUGUUGAGGGUGAGGUUGUAUCACACUAUGUCAUCAGACUGGCCACCUCCCUCCCGUAGGCCGCUUCCUCUCCGCCAUUGAUACAUUCUAUCACUAGGCUGUCAUCUUCAGACUUCAGGAUGGUGUUGUCCUUGUGGGAGGCGACACAGUCGUGGGUCCUGGCUGAGGUCCUGUUCCCAAUCCUGACAGACUGAGGCCUGUCAGUCAAGAAGUCGAGCAGGCAGUCACAGAGGGUGGAGUAAAGUCCAAGGGAAAACAGUUUAUGGGUGAGCAUGUGGGGAAUGACCGUGUUAAAGUCUGAGCUGUAGUCGAUUGAAUGAAGAAAAAGAGAGGUUAUUUCCGUGGAAUUGCCGGAAGGAUUGAACGUGUCUCCCCGAGGAAAGAUACCUGUGCACUGACUUGCCUAAAAGUUAGGACGGAGGAGACUGACUCCUGAUUGGUGGAGAGAACAACGAAGUGAAUGGAAAAAGAGCAGCAUGCUGAGGUCUCAGCCACACCUGCCAAUGUGGACACACCAGCGGAGGGGGUAAGCUUUUUCAGAGUAUCUAUUGGUCACAUACUGUUGGUGCUGCAGCUAUGGUACAGACAUCUGGGGACUUCAACCACGCGAACCCCAAGAGUGUGCUUCCACAUCUUCAUGGCCACAUCAAGUUUCCCACUAGAGGACUCGGUUGAAGAUCGCAUUCUUCGUGAUUGCAGACAUGCAGCAUAGUGGGUUGAGGCCAAAAAAAAAAAAAACUGUUGUGUGCCAAAGUGGACCUGGUGAUCUGAUGUCUGUCCAUGGGGGAGGAGAAACAGGUUGCUGUGGAAAGAAGAACUGGAUGAAGAGGAAAAUGAAGCAAUCCUGGAGCCCUUCAAGUUCCAAUUUUACAACACAGAUGACAGGUGGAAAUUCUGCAAAGAAAUAAUGGACCAAAGAAACUAUUUGGCCUACUGUGAAUGUCACAUAGAUGAGUGAGUUUUUGUUUGGGAAUAAAGGGCUUCAGAACAUUUGAUCA